This 247-nucleotide ribosomal RNA is filed under the name uncultured bacterium. RNAcentral's name for it is "partial small subunit ribosomal RNA". It matches the Rfam family "Bacterial small subunit ribosomal RNA", at positions 26 to 288 of the family's 1533-position model. The record is from RNAcentral.
AGGACGAACGCUGGCGGCGUGCUUAACACAUGCAAGUCGAGCGAACCUUCGGGUUAGCGGCGAACGGGUGAGUAACACGUGGGCAACCUGCCCCGAGCUCUGGGAUAACUCCGGGAAACCGGGGCUAAUACCGGAUAUGACACCGAUCGACAUCUGUCGGUGUGGAAAGUUUUUCGGCUCGGGAUGGGCCCGCGGCCUAUCAGCUUGUUGGUGAGGUAACGGCCCACCAAGGCGACGACGGGUAGCC